Molecule: long non-coding RNA, 1273 nt
Organism: Peromyscus eremicus (cactus mouse)
Lineage: Eukaryota; Metazoa; Chordata; Mammalia; Rodentia; Cricetidae
Exons: 2
Source: RefSeq, a predicted model, not a curated record
GGCCCGCAGCGGGAGCGGGGGCGCACGGGGCGCCGGCCCCGGGGACGACGCCGCCGCCGCAGGGACGCGCGCCCGCAGCCUCCGGCUACCCUAAACCGCAUAGCCCGGCCCUCAGCCCGAGCGGCCGGCGAGGGAUGAGCGGAUGCGGGAGAGAGAGGAGGGGACCCGGGUGCCCGGAGCUGGGCGAGUUACAGCUCGGCCCCGCAGCAUCAUGGGACUUGUAGUCCGCCUGGUGGAACCGAGCUUUUCGGAUGACCAGAGACGGUCUGGAACUGAUUUCCUGAAAGGGUGGACAGAGAGUCGGGCCCGGCCGAAAACGGAGGCCUUACUUGGAUGCCAGACAUCGCAUUGGAAAGAGAAUGUCUAACGGGGCGAAGAAGACAGUCCUUCCCCUCCAUUGCUCAGCAAGAAUCGGGAUGAGGCUGAGCAGAGACAGCAGCAGGUGGCAGCUCCCCACCUCCACCCCAUGUGGGUCCCUGCCUAAGGGAAAAGACUGAGUCCAGAUUGCCUCCUUCCUGGAUGACCAGAGCAGACGAGCCCUUCCACAGGAGCCCUUGCAGAGAGUGUGGUGAAAGUGAAAAUGGCCUCUGUGGCAGCCGACUGCAAAUGUUAAAAGAACCAAGACGCCCUGGAAGAGAAAAUGGAUCGUGAUGUCAACAGAGCUGUGUUUAAAUACCGCAUCAACUGCUUGAUCUUGAGCAAAUUGCUUACACUUCUGAGUUUCCCGGACCACUCACCUCUUAAAUGGGAUUGGAUACUACCUCCUGGGGUGAGCUAAGGAUAGCAACUGCCUGAAAACGGCGGCGUCUCUCGCUCCUUCAACCGGGCUGAGACAGGUGGUAGGAAUGAACAUGUUGCCUUCCUUGAGCCCACCUUAAACCAAAGCAGAAAUAAGGGAUUCCUCGUCAGCCCCACUCAGAACAACAAUCUAGAGAGUGUUCGUGUGGGAGGUGCCGGCAAAAGCUUGCAGACUCCUUGUGCCUCCCUGGGGUUUCUUUGUGUGGUCUUCUCCCCUGCCUCCUGCACACCCCGCGUUGCCAGGCCCGGGAGGGCUGAGGGAGGAGCAGGCUGCCUCACCCCUUUCUGCAACCUGGGAGGAGCCGGCAGGCGUCUCCACAGCCCAGGUCGGCAGCCCACCUCCACCACUAGGGGUCAGCAGAGCGUCGUGAUUGCAGCCUGAGUUGAGGAGGGGGCUAGGACAGCCAGGAGGGGACGUCUAGCAGAGGCCUCCAGAACGCUUGGACAGUAGUACCUCAUUAAAUCGUUUUCAGAA